GAUGAACGCUGGCGGCGUGCCUAAUACAUGCAAGUCGAACGCACAGCGAAAGGUGCUUGCACCUUUCAAGUGAGUGGCGAACGGGUGAGUAACACGUGGGUAACCUACCUCUUAGCGGGGGACAACUAUUGGAAACGAUAGCUAAUACCGCAUAAUAAUUUUUAACACAUGUUAGGAAUUUGAAAGUACCAACUGGUACACUAAGAGAUGGACCCGCGUUGUAUUAGCUAGUUGGUAGUGUAAUGGACUACCAAGGCGAUGAUACAUAGCCGACCUGAGAGGGUGAUCGGCCACAUUGGGACUGAGACACGGCCCAAACUCCUACGGGAGGCAGCAGUAGGGAAUCUUCGGCAAUGGACGAAAGUCUGACCGAGCAACGCCGCGUGAGUGAAGAAGGUUUUCGGAUCGUAAAACUCUGUUGUUAGAGAAGAACGUCAGUGAGAGUGGAAAGUUCACUGAGUGACGGUAUCUAACCAGAAAGGGACGGCUAACUACGUGCCAGCAGCCGCCGUAAAAC
Molecule: ribosomal RNA, 517 nt
Filed under: uncultured bacterium
Lineage: Bacteria
Description: bacterial SSU rRNA
Rfam family: Bacterial small subunit ribosomal RNA
Source: RNAcentral